This 381-nucleotide ribosomal RNA is filed under the name uncultured eukaryote. RNAcentral's name for it is "partial 18S ribosomal RNA". It matches the Rfam family "Eukaryotic small subunit ribosomal RNA", at positions 592 to 976 of the family's 1831-position model. The record is from RNAcentral.
CAAUAGCGUAUAUUAAAGUUGUUGCGGUUAAAAAGCUCGUAGUUGGAUUUCUGCCGAGGACGACCGGUCCGCCCUCUGGGUGUGUAUCUGGUUUGGCCUGGGCAUCUUCUUGGAGAACGUAGCUGCACUUGACUGUGUGGUGCGGUGUCCAGGACUUUUACUUUGAGGAAAUUAGAGUGUUUCAAGCAGGCACACGCCUUGAAUACAUUAGCAUGGAAUAAUAAGAUAAGACUUUGGUGGUCUAUUUUGUUGGUUUGCACGCCAAAGUAAUGAUUAAUAGGGAUAGUUGGGGGUAUUCGUAUUCUAUUGCUAGAGGUGAAAUUCUUAAAUUUAUGGAAGACGAACUACUGCGAAAGCAUUUACCAAGGAUGUUUUCAUUAA